Molecule: non-coding RNA, 83 nt
Filed under: uncultured Blautia sp.
Lineage: Bacteria; Bacillati; Bacillota; Clostridia; Lachnospirales; Lachnospiraceae
Description: Glycine riboswitch
Rfam family: Glycine riboswitch aptamer
About the family: This family represents the bacterial glycine riboswitch. Glycine riboswitches usually consist of two metabolite-binding aptamers domains with similar structures in tandem. The aptamers cooperatively bind glycine to regulate the expression of downstream genes.
Source: RNAcentral
GCUCUCUGGAGAAUCCCAGCAAUGGGUGCCGAAGGUGAAAGGAAAUCGUGAUUUCCGAAUCUCUCAGGCAAAAGGACAGUGAA